Drosophila simulans is the source of this 1077-nucleotide long non-coding RNA. RefSeq lists it as uncharacterized. The record is from RefSeq and is a predicted model, not a curated record. The transcript has 2 exons. NCBI's taxonomy places the organism in Eukaryota, Metazoa, Arthropoda, Insecta, Diptera, Drosophilidae.
GCUGAUCUACAAGUAGAUAGAUCGGUUUUUGCGUUUUAAAAGCAUAUACAUCGACACACAUGUACAACCGAUGAUCGGCCCAAGCAACUUAAUCGGUAAUUGGCAACAGAAAGCAGUGGAAAUAAUAAACCAAAAUAGGGAAACACAAAUAUAAGCUAGGGGAUCGAUCGAUGAAUGAAUGGAUGUCUAAUGAAUAUACAGUCAAGCCACCAAACAAUUUCUAAAGGAAUUGGGAAUAGGGACGGGACUACGGAAUGUGGUGAAGGAUUCCCGUUUAAACCGAAAUCCAGUGUCAAACAAUAAGCCAAACGAAAUAUAAUUUUGGUUGUCCUUAGUGUAUUAUUUGUCCUGCUUUCUCGGCAAUGUCUGGUGUUCUCUUUAUAUAUAUACUCUGGAGUCGAUUUUGGGGGCACACUUAAAGUAUAUAUAUAAAUUCGAUAGUUGGAAGUUUUAAAAGGAAAAUCAAUGGAACGACAACACAUUACGAGAAGUAAAUCAGGAAUAUGAACGAAAAAUGAAAGGAGCAAGCGGAAAAGCAGCUUUAACUACGGCAACAACUGAAACAAGGAUAAAGAAGUACAUGUUCAGACUGACCGUCGCGCAAAUCUCCAGCCUCGAUUUCGGACACCUCGCUAGCCAGUGAGUCCAGUCCCUCGUUCUCCGAUCGCGCCUUGGCUCCCACACUGGGACUGGUGCCACUGCCCACCAUAUCCUGGUUAUUCGAAUUCUUCGUGCGCCACCCGUAGCGUGAGAAGUUAUUGAGAUUGGCGCUAGGAUCGCUUAGGCGUCGCUGAUGUCGAUAGGUGCAAUAGUCGUCGUUCUCCUCCUCCCACUCGUCCCACAUGUCAGUGGCGCAGAAUCCCGGCUCGCUGGUGGGUGUCUCCACACCGGAUCCUUUUGGCUUGGUCACCGCCAUCUCGGCGUGUCCCUUUCCCUGAGGUCCCUUCAUCCGGACAAACUCGCAACGCGUUUGGACACCAGCUCCACUGCUGAAAAGGCCAAAGGACAUGCGCUGCGCCACCUUGGAACUCAGACUGGAUUGCUAAGUUGCAAAAUGUACAAGUUAGAAUAGAAAAA